RNAcentral lists this ribosomal RNA (486 nucleotides) under uncultured bacterium. Its description in RNAcentral is "bacterial SSU rRNA". It matches the Rfam family "Bacterial small subunit ribosomal RNA", at positions 35 to 507 of the family's 1533-position model. The record is from RNAcentral.
AUUGAACGGCUGGCGGCACGCCUUACACAUGCAAGUCGAACGGCAGCACGGGAGCAAUCCUGGUGGCGAGUGGCGAACGGGUGAGUAAUGUAUCGGAACGUGCCCAGUCGUGGGGGAUAACGCAGCGAAAGUUGUGCUAAUACCGCAUACGAUCUAUGGAUGAAAGCGGGGGAUCGCAAGACCUCGCGCGAUUGGAGCGGCCGAUAUCAGAUUAGGUUGUUGGUGAGGUAAAAGCUCACCAAGCCUGCGAUCUGUAGCUGGUCUGAGAGGACGACCAGCCACACUGGAACUGAGACACGGUCCAGACUCCUACGGGAGGCAGCAGUGGGGAAUUUUGGACAAUGGACGAAAGUCUGAUCCAGCAAUGCCGCGUGCAGGACGAAGGCCUUCGGGUUGUAAACUGCUUUUGUACAGAACGAAAAAAGUCUUUAAUAACACUAGAGGCUCAUGACGGUACUGUAAGAAUAAGCACCGGCUAACUACGUG